This 299-nucleotide signal recognition particle RNA is filed under the name Aotus nancymaae (Ma's night monkey). RNAcentral describes it as "Metazoan signal recognition particle RNA (ENSANAG00000014848.1)". It matches the Rfam family "Metazoan signal recognition particle RNA". From Rfam's summary of the family: The signal recognition particle (SRP) is a universally conserved ribonucleoprotein. Lineage: Eukaryota; Metazoa; Chordata; Mammalia; Primates; Aotidae. The record is from RNAcentral.
GCUGGGCGGGGUGUGGCGUGCCUGUAGUCCCAGCUACACAGGAGGCUGAGGUAGGAGGAUCACUUGAGCCAAGGAGUCCUGGGCUGUAGUGCGCUAUGCCGAUCAGGUGUCCGCACUAAGUUCGGCAUCAAUAUGGUGACCUCCUGGGAGCAGGGGACCACGAGGUUGCAUAAGGAGAGGUGAGCCGGCCCAGGUCAGAAACGGAGCAGGUCAAAACUCCCGUGCUGAUCAGUAGUGGGAUGGCGCCGGUAAAUAGCCACUGUACUCCAGCCUGGGCAACAUAGUAAGACCCCAUCUCU